This 2244-nucleotide long non-coding RNA is filed under the name Triticum aestivum (bread wheat). Its description in RNAcentral is "long non-coding RNA (TAES_LNC027168)". Lineage: Eukaryota; Viridiplantae; Streptophyta; Magnoliopsida; Poales; Poaceae. The record is from RNAcentral.
GGGGGAAAGCGAAUAGGAAACAAUUAUGACUCAGGAUCCUCCUAACAGCAGAAAGUCAAAUGAGCAGGCACUCUUAUGUCGCUUUAGUUUCAUCCCGGGGCUUUUAGCAGUAGGGAUACAUGCCAAGGGGAGGAGUCCCAUGUUCAACAUCGACACAAUGUAAAAUGCUGCUAGAUAUGAACUUGAAAACUCCUAGCUCAUAUGAAUUUUCUUUAUGCUCAUUCUGUCUGUGUUAGUUUAGCUAGGAUAUUAAUUUGCAAAAAAAAAAGAAUAUAUGACAGUGCUAGGUCACAAAUUGGUCUCCACAUUUGUGUACUUUUCUUUCUAAACCAGAAAACGGUUACCAUGCACACACGUAGCAUAAGCAUACCUGCAAGUCAUAUGCAAAGUCCCUGAAACUCUGACUCUCUGGCAGUAACAACCACGCUGUUGUUUUCUUCAAGAAACGGCCACUGCUAUGUGCUGUGAAGAGAAACAAGGCUGCUGGGCCCAGUGACAAAACUUAGGAACAGUUGAAAGUACUUCCAGGAACCUGCUCCCGGCAUCAAUCAAUGUAGGCCAUGCAAGUACCUAACCCAGAUUCAUCACGCAUCCUGUGCCUCCAAAGUUGGUACAAUAUCGCACAUCUCCUUUGACCUGAUCGGCAUCCAUGCACGUGUGUUAGCUAGGGAAAUAAGCCCCAGGCUGUACAGAAGGCAACAUGUCACACACGUUCUCUGGCCUUGGCCAUUGGAUGAACCAUCGAAAAGUUUCAGUGAGGUGGGAAAAGUCACCUAAUUCAGCAUGAUUCUACGAUAAGACACAGCAAUAAUGUCCUAAUGAUCUUAGACAUUACCCUUCAUCUAGAAAACCUGUAUUUCUUUUAAGGCACCACGCUGCUGUAGCGGCAUACUUUUAUCCCCAAAGGCGUGGGAUACGAAUCCCUGUUCCCAUGAUGACCAAUAUAAAACCCCUCCCUGCAUACAGUGUUAGCGCUGAUCAAUACCUUCUUACCUGUAACGAUACUUAUGUAUAACAAAAGUACCAGUAUUAAUUAGGAAGCAAACCUCUCGCUUUUGGUUACGCCAUUUUGUGUACUUUAGCAGCUUGGUUUCACAUAUGAUAUACGAUGUAUUGCCAUGUGUAUAGAGAGGCUCCUAGAGACUAGUGGUUUGUUAGGGGUGGGCCCACCGUGAUACAAAAGGUUAAAUUAAGGGAGACAUCGGACCGAUGACUGAUCUAUUGUAAGAUUGUACAUGCCUUGGUAAGGUAAUUCAAAUCAGUCAUUGUGACAUUCCGAUUCAAUCACUGUAACAUUCCAACUCGCGAAGGGUGAAACUAAAAAAAAGGCAGCCUGGUGCACAUAGCUCCCGUUUGCGCAGGGUCCGGGGAAGGGUCCGAUCACUUUGGGUCUUUUGUACGCAGCCUUUCCCUACAUUUCUGCAAGAGGUUGUUUUCAGGACUCGAACCCGUGACCUCAUGGUCACAAGGCAACAGCUUUACUGCUGCUCCAAGGCAUGGUCACGAAGGGUGAAAUUACAUUAUUAGUUCACAAAGCUAUUGUGUAUGGAUAUGUUUGUCUAAGACAUUCUGUACUCGCACCUUUGUAGAAUUUUCAUAGGAAUGGUUGUUCUUCAAGUGGUGAUGGCACUAACGAUGUUUCAUCAGUGUUACAGUGUGCAUUUGUAUUUAACUUAUCGAUAAAAUAUUUACUGAGUUUAAACUUUUCUAAGAAUCUCCAUGUACACUUGUCUACCAAAUCACCAAAGCUUAAAGUUUGAGUAACUAAAACACUAGAAAUGAAGACCGAAACAAGACAUAGGACAUAGCACGCUUUGGAAGAAAAUUAGAUGAUUUGAACCUUUGGAGUUACUUGAUAGAAGAGUUAUUGUUGAAGCAGUUGAACACAAUGCCGGGUAGCUCCCUUAUUUUAUAUGCAUCGUCUAACAACCCAGCUGCCCUGCAGCAUCUCACCGUUCUCUCCCAGAAACCACCCUUCUUUCUCUUCCCUACAUGCACCCCAUCCUCCUACUAUAUAAACCACCCCAUUCUGCACCUCAUAACCCACAAGAAGAGAAGUAGAAACAAACAAAUAACAAGUCUCUUCUAUUACUUGUACAAAGUGCAGCUAAGGACACUUACAUGGCGACUUCCAUGAGUUGCCUGUUGGUGCUAUGCCUUGUCUGUCCCCUCCUUGCUGGUGUCGUACGUGCCAACCCAUGGUACGGCUUGUUCCCACAGUUCUACGACCACUCUUGCCCGAAG